UAGAGUUUGAUCAUGGCUCAGAUUGAACGCUGGCGGUAUGCCUUACACAUGCAAGUCGAACGGUAGAGGGGCAACCCUUGAGAGUGGCGAACGGGUGAGUAAUACAUCGGAACGUGCCCAGUCGUGGGGGAUAACGUAGCGAAAGCUACGCUAAUACCGCAUACGACCUGAGGGUGAAAGCGGGGGAUCGCAAGACCUCGCGCGAUUGGAGCGGCCGAUGGCAGAUUAGGUAGUUGGUGGGGUAAAGGCCUACCAAGCCUGCGAUCUGUAGCUGGUCUGAGAGGACGACCAGCCACACUGGGACUGAGACACGGCCCAGACUCCUACGGGAGGCAGCAGUGGGGAAUUUUGGACAAUGGGCGAAAGCCUGAUCCAGCCAUACCGCGUGCGGGAAGAAGGCCUUCGGGUUGUAAACCGCUUUUGUCAGGGAAGAAAUCUUCUGGGCUAAUACCUCGGGAGGAUAACGGUACCUGAAGAAUAAGCACCGGCUAACUACGUGCCAGCAGCCGCGGUAAU
RNAcentral lists this ribosomal RNA (516 nucleotides) under uncultured bacterium. RNAcentral describes it as "bacterial SSU rRNA". It matches the Rfam family "Bacterial small subunit ribosomal RNA", at positions 1 to 524 of the family's 1533-position model. The record is from RNAcentral.